AUUUCUUGAAAUUAGGCUCCACCCAUGAAUAGGGUUUAAGAAACAUACUAUGAACAUUGUUUUUCAUUUUCGAAAAGGUUUAGCAGAAAUUCAUCCGCAAACCGUCAUAACUUACGGGCACGGAGGGUGAUCAGCCCCGUUGUACACUGUAUUGAUCAAUACUACAUAACUUGAACGACGAUUCAUCGUUCACUAAAUCUGCCUCGGGCGCAAAAAUUUUCCCAUAUAGGGAUGUUCAUACAUGUCUGGUUCCAAACCCGAAGGUUUUUAAUCUUGCUCAACAAUAAUAUGUAAUUCAACAUAUAUAUAUAUAUAUACGGGUAAUUGAAAAAGUGUAUCAACAUGUGAAUAAAUGCCAUGAUUAUCCAAGUGGGGACACUCGUAUAACCAUUUAAAAAUUAAGGAACAGAAUAUAUAUCUGAGCUAACAUGUUGAUAAUCAAAGCGUACAUAAUCUGUACAGGAAUAGAAUAAUUCUGAAACUUCUUACUCAUGUCAAUUGCAUAAAGAAAAUGCAAAGGUAAGAUACUUGCCUGAUUUGCUGAUUACGAAUCUCAACUUAGGUUUUAUCUCUUUAUCACAACCUAUCAAUAAUCAGAUCAUUCGUUCGAUUAGAACAAUAUAUCAUAACACAUAGUACUGUCUAUUACAGUCAGCACAUAGUCUAAUCACGUCAUCACAUAAUCGCAGUGAUCAUACUUUUAGUUCAUAUUCUGUAUUUGAAAUAUUUUUUUAUACAUUUUUCAAAUAUCUUAUCCAUGUUUUUACAGUAGCCUUUUCUUUCUUUUAUAAGGUCUGACAUUUGUCGGCGUACCGACAGCUUUAUCGGGUAAUUACUGAGUCUAAG
Molecule: long non-coding RNA, 846 nt
Filed under: Panax ginseng (ginseng)
Lineage: Eukaryota; Viridiplantae; Streptophyta; Magnoliopsida; Apiales; Araliaceae
Description: long non-coding RNA (PGIN_LNC000609)
Source: RNAcentral